GCAGAAUGUGCAUCCACCUCUUAAUCCGUUGCUAGCAGCCAGCAACUUAGUAUAUUGGCCUUUCUCACCUCCGCAAUCCACAUCUUGGUCCUGUUAAAGUGCACACAUCAUCAGAGGUCAUUAGCGUCGUCCUCCCUGGCCGGGCACGCUGGGUGGAACAACACAAACCACACUGAAGGAUGGACCGGUGGGUGAGAAAAGGCAGUAGUACUACUUGUUUAUCCUGGUGAGGAGGGGGUUGGACAGCCAGGAAGCUAAGGUGACAAGGAGAUCAUUCAUGGGAGGGAGUGGAAAGACUGCACCUGAAGGGUGACGCUACUGUGGAGGAAAGACAGGCCGGACUGGAAGUGAUCAGCUGAAACUAUUCAACCACACAUCCACCCAAGACAAGACCAGACCGAGUAGUAUUUCAGGAUUUGUCCACGUGUUUUUCUUUUCUUUUCUUUCCUGUUUUUUUUUUUUUUUUUUUUUUUUUUGCAGAGGUAAGUUUUGCAAUCAGGACCUUUUGUUUGUACUCACUACAAAUGAACCCGGAGCGCAUCCAUUUUUUAAUCCACUCAAUGAUUUGAGCUUUAUUUAUAUUUAUUCUAAUGAUGAUUCUCUACAGAGCCGCUUACACCACAGGCUGAAAGUAGAAACGCAUUUGUGCAGUUCCGCACAUGCAAGAGUAUUGAUAACGAAAGAGUGUUUCAUUGCUACAGCACUGUGCAAAAGUCUUGCACCACCCCUUAUUUCUUCAUAUUUGGCGAGGACAGUGGGAAACAGUUGCAGUGAUUUUUGCAUUAAGGCUACAUGCAAACACACAUACAAAUCCAGCAGCAAAAAACUGAAUUCUAACGAAUUUGAAAGUCAAUAUUUGUUAUGAGCACCUUUAUUCUUUGACACAGCCCGAACCCUUUUUGGCAGCUUUCUUGUUAUUUCUUUGUUAUUUCUCUCCAGGCUUCUUGAAAGACAUUCAAAGCUCUUCUUUUAUAUUCUCUGUCGAGAUCCCACACUGCUUCAGUUUUAUUGAGGUCUGGGCUCUGUGGUCAGUCAGUGACUGAUUGUGUAUCACAGUGUGUUUCUCUAUAUGGCAUUGAUUUUACUCCAUAAUGUAUCAAAAAAAUCUGACAGGACUUUUCUGUGUUCAGAAUGAUUUGUUUUGAUGAGAUUUCCAACACCACACAUAACUCCAAAACCCAUGACAGAGCCUCCACCCUGUUUCACAGAUGGCUGUAGACACUCAGUGUUGGACUCUCCUGUCCUCCUUUGUAC
Astatotilapia calliptera (eastern happy) is the source of this 1254-nucleotide long non-coding RNA. The record is from Ensembl. NCBI's taxonomy places the organism in Eukaryota, Metazoa, Chordata, Actinopteri, Cichliformes, Cichlidae.